Molecule: ribosomal RNA, 265 nt
Filed under: uncultured archaeon
Lineage: Archaea
Description: partial 16S ribosomal RNA
Rfam family: Archaeal small subunit ribosomal RNA
Source: RNAcentral
ACACGACUACAUUAGAUACCCGGGUAGUCCUAGCCGUAAACGAUACUCGCUAGGUGUCGGCCACGGUGCGACCGUUGUCGGUGCCGUAGGGAAGCCGUGAAGCGAGCCACCUGGGAAGUACGGCCGCAAGGCUGAAACUUAAAGGAAUUGGCGGGGGAGCACAACAACGGGUGGAGCUUGCGGUUUAAUUGGAUUCAACGCCGGAAAUCUUACCGGGACCGACAGCAACAUGAAGGCCAGGCUGAAGACUUUGCCGGAUUAGCUG